UACAGUGACGCGCCACCAUGCCCGGCUAAUUUUUGUAUUUUUAGCAGAGACGGGGUUUCACCAUCUUGCCCAGGCUGCUCUUUAACUCCUGACCUCGUGAUCCACCCACCUCGGGCUCCCAAGGUGCUGGGAUUACAGGCGUGAGCCACCGCGCCCGGCCAAAACAAACACUUUUACGACAAUUGAAAAAUAGAAGUUUCCAAUUCAAUUUUGCAACUAAAAAAUAAUAAUAAUGUGGUGCCUUCAUGUUAAACUUUGGAAAAAGCCAGGGAAGUGGCUUGCUCUGGUGAAUAAAUUCUGUAGACCCUUAAGGCUGUUCGCAGCGUACACCAAGACUUCCGAGGCAAGUGGGGGCUCCCCCUGGCGGCUGCGCCGGGUGGCUGCUCCGGGAUUGUGCGGACCUCCGAGCUACACCGUCUCCAACCAACAGAAGCCAGCAGGAACCUGCCUUAGAUGUG
Molecule: long non-coding RNA, 458 nt
Filed under: Homo sapiens (human)
Lineage: Eukaryota; Metazoa; Chordata; Mammalia; Primates; Hominidae
Description: HSALNT0116573
Source: RNAcentral